AAGACCUUGCGCUUUUGGAGCGGCCGAUGUCUGAUUAGCUAGUUGGUAGGGUAAUGGCCUACCAAAGCUUUGAUCAGUAGCUGGUCUGAGAGGACGACCAGCCACACUGGGACUGAGACACGGCCCAGACUCCUACAGGAGGCAGCAGUGGGGAAUUUUGGACAAUGGGCGCAAGCCUGAUCCAGCCAUGCCGCGUGAGUGAAGAAGGCCUUCGGGUUGUAAAGCUCUUUCAGCCGGGAAGAAAAGGCUACGACGAAUAAUCGUAGCUCAUGACGGUACCGGAAGAAGAAGCACCGGCUAACUACGUGCCAGCAGCCGCGGUAAUACGUAGGGUGCGAGCGUUAAUCGGAAUUACUGGGCGUAAAGGGUGCGCAGGCGGUUUUGUAAGUCAGAUGUGAAAUCCCCGGGCUUAACCUGGGAACU
Molecule: ribosomal RNA, 423 nt
Filed under: uncultured bacterium
Lineage: Bacteria
Description: bacterial SSU rRNA
Rfam family: Bacterial small subunit ribosomal RNA
Source: RNAcentral